ACGGGAGGCAGCAGUGGGGGAUAUUGCACAAUGGAGGGAACUCUGAACCAGCCAUCUCGCGUGAAGGAAUACGGCCCUACGGGUCUUAAACUUCUUUUAUAGGGGGAUAAAGUGAGGCAUGCAUGCCUUUUUGUAGGUACCCUAUGAAUAAGCAUCGGCUAACUCCGUGCCAGCAGCCGCGGUAAUACGGAGGAUGCGAGCGUUAUCCGGAUUUAUUGGGUUUAAAGGGUGCGCAGGCGGCACGUUAAGUCAGCGGUGAAAUGUCGGGGCUCAACCCGGGCACUGCCGUUGAAACUGGCGAGCUCGAGUACGGAUGAAGUCGGCGGAAUGUGAUGUGUAGCGGUGAAAUGCUUAGAUAUGUCACAGAACACCGAUUGCGAAGGCAGCUGACUAAUCCGCAACUGACGCUCAUGCACGAAAGUGCGGGGAUCGAACAGGAUUAGAUACCCUGGUA
Molecule: ribosomal RNA, 454 nt
Filed under: uncultured Porphyromonas sp.
Lineage: Bacteria; Pseudomonadati; Bacteroidota; Bacteroidia; Bacteroidales; Porphyromonadaceae
Description: partial 16S ribosomal RNA
Rfam family: Bacterial small subunit ribosomal RNA
Source: RNAcentral